GGGGUGGGGUGGGGUUUGUGAGGGAAGGGGAAGGGAGGGAAGGCAGCAGUAUAGUGAAAACACAAACCAAAUCACCACCUCCAAACAGAGGAGAGGAAAGGAGGAGAGCUCACAUCAAUAUCCAUAAAUCAAAUUAAAAUAUUAUCAAUUUGCAUCAAUAACCAUAUGAAAGAUAUGAUCAACCUUAAGAUCAUGCCAAUAGUUCUUAACUUACCUCUUGCAUUCAAUAUUUUAAGUUUCAAAGAAUUUGGUGAAUCUAGAGAAUAUCAGCCAUGGCUUGGAAAUCAAAGUUAGGAUUAGGAGUGGUUUUAGAAUUUACUUUUGAAUUUUGGAAAUUGUCUAGUGUGAAAUUCCCGAUAAUAAUGUUCCUAACUUGAGAACAAAAGUAAAUACCCACUACACAUUGUAAUGGGAAAAAAAAAGCACUUACACCUUCAUCAGUAUGAAUAGCCAACAGUCACCAGCUAAGUACGCUCACAGUGAUCAUUAAAGAGACUUAAAAGUUAAGUAAUAAUGUUAAUUCCCUUACUUUUUAUAAUCAUUAAUCAACAACUUCAUUCCAUAAAGCAGGGGAAACCCAUAGCCUACUGAGGAAGCGUUCUGAAUCCUAUUAUGAGUUUUUCUUGUUUUACCCAAUCCAAAAGCCAAUGCUGGGAUUUUUUACUUUGUUGCAUAUUAUAUAAGAUUCUUCACUAUUAACUGAAACAAACACACCAGGCCAUAACCAUACCACAAGCAUAACUGUGCAAGAUUUUGUAUAAACAAUAUCACUGCUACUAGAGUAUUGAACACGAACUAUAACUAACAUUACUUCCUAAUAGAAAAAUAAUGGAUUGAACACAAGGAGUCUAAGUAUCAGCCAGAUAAAAUAAAACGCAUGAGAAAAGCACAACACUCAAAAUAAAACUCUAAGUAAGAAUACUAAUAAGUAAUUGAACUAGUUUAGUAUUAUAGGAAGCAAUUAUUACCUCUAGAAUAGAAUAAACAUUAAGAAAACACAAGGCUUCGACACAAAGGCACCAUAGAAGGGGUAACUCACCUGAAAAUGUCAUUAUUGUCAAGCAUAAAAACACCAGGUCGGUCCCAAUCACAGUCCUCAACGACCACAAUCUUCCCAAGCCUUGCU
This 1126-nucleotide unclassified non-coding RNA is filed under the name Hevea brasiliensis (rubber tree). The record is from RNAcentral. Lineage: Eukaryota; Viridiplantae; Streptophyta; Magnoliopsida; Malpighiales; Euphorbiaceae.